RNAcentral lists this long non-coding RNA (1324 nucleotides) under Sus scrofa (pig). RNAcentral describes it as "lncRNA (ENSSSCG00040061315.1)". The record is from RNAcentral. Lineage: Eukaryota; Metazoa; Chordata; Mammalia; Artiodactyla; Suidae.
GCCUGUGGGUUAAUGUGUUGGGAGUGUAAGUGCUAGUGAUGUUUGCAUUUAAGUAUAAUGUGUCAAAUAAAAAUUGGGACUCAAUUACAUAAUAUCUCAUAUUUAUCAACAUUAGGAACUCCAAAAAUAUGUUUUUAGAAAAAGCAAUGAUUCGGGAAUCAAGAAAUAUGUAUUCUAAUCCUGACGGAAACAAUUACUAAAUUGUAAGAUCUUAGAAUAUCACGAAUCUUUAAGACAUAUAAUAAUCAUCCUCAAAAAACGGGUAUUGGUAGGUUUCUCAUGAGGAUCUAAUAAGAAGUAUUAUGGUUGUAAAUUUACAACAUGAGAUGGGGUCCAAGAUGGUGCUUCCAACGAAGGUUUAUACCAAGAGCACUUAGAGAGACAGAGCCCUUUUGAACUUGCUUGCCUCGUGGAGAACUAUGGAAUCUACAUGGGAUGUGCUGGGAGAUGAGUACAGGACAUUAAAUCAACCCUCUUGGACAGAAUCCUGCCCUAUUCUAAGUAUGCUUCAUCAGCAUAGGCCACUUUGUUUGUUUAUUUAUUUUUUGUCUUUUUGCCUUUUCUAGGGCUGCUCCCAGGCUAGGGGUCUAAUCGGAGCUGUAGCCACCAGCCUACGCCACAGCCGCAGCAACUCAGGAUCUGAGCCGCGUCUGUGACCUACACCACAGCUCACGGCAACACCAGAUCCUUAACCCACUGAGCAAGGGCAGGGAUCAAACCCGCAACCUCAUGGUUCCUAGUUAGAUUCAUUAACCACUGCACCACGACGGGAACUCCCAGGAUAGGCCACUUUGAAUAAUGAAGUGAAGUAGAGGCCCACUUGAGGCUUUAAUUUUUAGGUUUGCUUACUUGCAAAACUGUGGCUUUGCUAUAAGUGAAAUGCAGAUUUGUUUAACUCCGGCUCACCUGGUACCACCAUGUGUGCUGAAAUAGCCAGCGCCGGCGUCUGUCCAGAACCGUGGCAGCCGACCGGCUAUAACCCUGUGACUCUUCCCGCAGGUGCCCCGAGCGACCAGAGCAGCGGCACAUCCUCCCCUCUGUGCGACAGCGGCUUACACCUCAACUUCCACCCCAACAACACAGUAAGAUGCGACAGGGCCCUUCGCAGGGAGAGGGGACCCUCGGGGACAGGGGACGUGAGAGCUGGAGUUCGCACAAAGGUCUCCAACCCGGUGCCUCCCACCCAGUUAAAAGCCUUGGUUGCUUUAUUUUUUGAGAUUUAUGGUAAUCCUUGGAGGAAAAAAUAAUAACUCCAGGGAGGUCAGGUUUUUUAUGUCAUUUUUCUCCUCUCAGGUCUGUAUUAAGCCCUAAGUUGUAGAGCCUU